GAUGAACGCUGGCGGCGUGCCUAACACAUGCAAGUCGAACGGAGUCCAACCUCUAAGACCUUCGGGUCAAAGAGGGGAAGACUGAGUGGCGGACGGGUGAGUAACACGUGGGCAACCUGGCUCAUAGAGGGGGAUAACAGAGAGAAAUUUCUGCUAAUACCGCAUAAGCACACACUGCCGCAUGGCAGAGGGUGAAAAGAGAAUCGCUAUGAGAUGGACCCGCGUCUGAUUAGCCAGUUGGCAGGGUAAGAGCCUACCAAAGCGACGAUCAGUAGCCGAUCUGAGAGGAUGAACGGCCACAUUGGGACUGAGACACGGCCCAAACUCCUACGGGAGGCAGCAGUGGGGGAUAUUGCACAAUGGGGGGAACCCUGAUGCAGCGACGCCGCGUGAGGAAGAAGUAUUUCGGUAUGUAAAGCUCUAUCAGCAGGGAAGAUAAGAC
RNAcentral lists this ribosomal RNA (442 nucleotides) under Oribacterium sp. oral taxon 372. RNAcentral's name for it is "bacterial SSU rRNA". It matches the Rfam family "Bacterial small subunit ribosomal RNA", at positions 28 to 454 of the family's 1533-position model. The record is from RNAcentral. Lineage: Bacteria; Bacillati; Bacillota; Clostridia; Lachnospirales; Lachnospiraceae.